UCGUAGAGCGUCACGGGGAUGUUGGCGCGCACCAGGCCAACGGCGAGGGUGGCGCCGGCAAUGCCGCCACCGACGAUGGCGAUGUCGUAGUCGCAGGGCGAGUUGUGGACCAUGGUGGCAGGCAGAGUGUCUUGUUGCUAAGGCCAAGCCGAUUUGAGAAUGAUCAAACAACGGCGAGCUGAACCCAGCCAGUGGUGUUCGUCACGGAGACAAGUCCUUGAACGUUCCACCAGAUCAUGCUGCGCCAAUUUCAGACUACAUGUAGCACGGAUUGCUCGCUAUUGCUUACGAGCCACGAGCCUUUCGGAGACGGAGCAACUGUAGCGAGAGCGCAGUGUGCCGCUUUCCGCGAUCGUGUUCCCUAGGUAGUGGAUGGCUUGACACGAGCAGCCCACAUUUCAGAAUUGGCACUGCUGGGAUUGCUCGUCUCCGCUUGCGGGCCACGAUCCAUAAAGAGCGCGCCGGGGGUUCCCGGUGGUACAUGUUGCAGCCAUGCGUCUGUCACAUGCAGCCGGGGCAGUCAUGCAAGGCCAAGCAACCAGCUUCACGUUGGAAGUGUGGGGUUCCUGGUAUUCAGGAAGCUCCUCUUCACGCACUGCUCAUCGUUUGGACCAAAUAUAUCACUUACAUAUUGGACACUUAUACCAUACACAUGAAUAAGAAAGACAGCACGCCAGCGGAAGUCGUGAGAGUACAUGUUGCUCUUGUGAAGGAUAGGAGAAGUUAGUGGCAAAAUAUGGAGAUGAUUUGUGGUUAGGAGUGAAAGGCUAAUCAAACUCAGAGAUAGCUGGUUUUCCGCGAAAUCUAUUGAAGUAGAGCAUUUAAAAUCUUUUUUUGGGGUAGAGCACUCAUUGAGCUAGGGGGCGUAAAAACUUACUGAAUUCUUGGAAACUCCGAAUACAAAAAAACGUUAUUUAAAUAGACAGACAUUAGGCGCUAAGGUCUAUUGUCAAGAGGGAAACAGCCCAGAUUGAUCGCUAAGGUCUCUAAAUAAUAUUCUAAGUGAAAAAGGAAGUGAAAAAAUAAUUACAACCAGUAGGUAGGCUUGGAAGCAGCCAUCCUUUAAAGAAAGCGUAAUAGCUCAUUGGUCUAGUUUUUUUGCGCCUAAAAUGUAUCGAGACUUAAGAAAUUUACCGAAGCGGCAAGUUUUAUUAAAAAAUAAAACGGUAGCGGAACAUUCUGUAUGUUAAUAAAGAUAUAUUGUGAAAUAUAUUGAAGAUAUCAGAAAAGAAAAUGCUGGCAUUAGUAACAAAAAAUAACGCACAAGAAUCGUUAUCACCGUAAAUCCAAGGGUUUCUAUGUUAAAAUGUAUUGCAUAGAGUGAAACGGCCCCUAAGAAAGAUUUGACGAAAGCAAAUUUUGAUGGGAUAAUUUUUAAAUUAAAUUUUUUAAAAAAGUGACAAAAAUUUUGUAAUUUUUCAGGAAAUAACUUUUUUAAUUAAAAACCGUACCCUAAACCGACACAGGUGGAUAGGUCGAGUAGACUAAGGUGAAUGAGAGAACUAUAUUGAAGGAACUCGGCAAAAUGACUUUGUAACUUCGGGAUAAAAAGUACCUAAUUAUUUUUAAUAAUUAGGUGUCACAAAAUAGGGGGUUGCGACUGUUUAAUAAAAACUUAGGACUCUGCUAAAUGGUAACAUGAUGUAUAGGGUCUGACACCUGCCCGGUGCUGGAAGAUUAAAAGGAAAUGUUUGCGCAUUAAAUGGAAGUCCCAGUAAACGGCGGCCGUAACUCUGACGGUCCUAAGGUAGCGAAAUUCCUUGUCGGGUAAGUUCCGACCUGCAUGAAUGGUGUAACGACAUCCCCGCUGUCUCCAAUAUAGACUCAGUGAAUUUGAAAUAUCCGUGAAGAUGCGGAUUCUCUAUAGUUAGACGGAAAGACCCCGUGAACCUUUACUACAUCUUUAUAUUGUUAUUUUAUCUAAUAUGUGUAGCAUAAGUGGUAAUUGUUUAGACCUUUACGCUAGUAAAUUGUUUAGAUACUCUUGAAAUACCACUCUUAUUAAAAUAAAUAACUAAUAUUUUUUAAAUAGACAGUGUAUGGUUGGUAGUUUGACUGGGGCGGUCACCUCCUAAAGAGUAACGGAGGUGUACAAAGGUAAGCUCAAAUUGGAUAAUAGUAUCAAUUGUAGAGCGUAAUGGUAAAAGCUUGCUUGACUGUAAGAUAGACAUAUCAAACAGGGACGAAAGUCGGUCAUAGUGAUCCGAUAAUUCUUUGUGGAAAGAUUAUCGCUCAACGGAUAAAAGGUACUCCGGGGAUAACAGGCUGAUGACUCCUAAGAGCUCCUAUCGACGGAGUCGUUUGGCACCUCGAUGUCGACUCAUCACAUCCUGGAGCUGAAGAAGGUUCCAAGGGUUCGGCUGUUCGCCGAUUAAAGUGGUACGUGAGUUGGGUUUAGAACGUCGUGAGACAGUUUGGUUCCUAUCUUCUAUAGAUAUUUUGAAAAAUGAAAGAAUCUAACUCUAGUACGAGAGGACCGAGAAGGGUAAAUCUCUGGUGUAUCGGUUGUUGCAAGGCAUCGCCGAGUAGCUAAAUUUAUUUUGGAUAAUUACUGAAAGCAUCUAAGUAAGAAACCAUUCUUAAAAAUUUUUUAUAUAAAAACUGUAAAAGAUGAUUACAUUGAUAGGUUUUAAGUGUAAGUAUUGUAAAAUAUUUAGCUUAAAAAUACUAAACGUUUUAAAAAUUUAAAUAU
This 2692-nucleotide ribosomal RNA is filed under the name Phytophthora lateralis. RNAcentral's name for it is "bacterial LSU rRNA". It matches the Rfam family "Bacterial large subunit ribosomal RNA", at positions 556 to 2925 of the family's 2925-position model. Lineage: Eukaryota; Oomycota; Peronosporomycetes; Peronosporales; Peronosporaceae. The record is from RNAcentral.